UACCUCCCAAGGAAAAUCCCGAAUCGGAUCCCAAAUUGACGGGUUAGUGUGAGCUUAUCCAUGCGGUUAUGCACUCUUCGAAUAGGAAUCCAUUUUCUGAAAGAUCCUGGCUUUCGUGCUUUGGUGGGUCUCCGAGAUCCUUUCGAUGACCUAUGUUGUGUUGAAGGGAUAUCUAUAUGAUCCGAUAUGAUUCGAUCGAUUGCGUAAAGCCCGCGGUAGCAACGGAACCGCGGAAAGUAUACAGAAAAGACAGUUCUUUUCUAU
Molecule: long non-coding RNA, 264 nt
Filed under: Amborella trichopoda
Lineage: Eukaryota; Viridiplantae; Streptophyta; Magnoliopsida; Amborellales; Amborellaceae
Description: long non-coding RNA (ATRI_LNC000989)
Source: RNAcentral